UCUUGCAGAUGGAUGAAACGGCUCAGGAGUUUUGACAUCGAGGCCUCUGUGACCUUCUAACUUUGGACCAUAGAUUUCAUCCAGCUGGAUGGGAGUUUUACUCACUAACAAGCAAGCAGACCCAAAGACAAAGUAGGUGGCCAGUGUAUCAUCAAAUGGCAGGAUGCCACAACAGAGCUCCUUUGGUCAUUCUGCCCACCAGUGUGAAGUCAGUAAACCCAGAGACAAGAGCCCUCGCCCACAUGAACUCUGGCCGCUCUGGUUGAGGUCUGCUGCUUGAGUCACAGGGGCCAGAGGGACCGGAAGGACACAACAGACUGGAGCUUCUACCAGUUGUGGACUGGACGGGUAUACAGAAGCAUGUGAAUAUACAAAGGUAAGCACUACAAUGUGAAGCU
This is a long non-coding RNA of Lates calcarifer (barramundi perch), 398 nucleotides long. RefSeq lists it as uncharacterized. The record is from RefSeq and is a predicted model, not a curated record. The transcript has 3 exons. Lineage: Eukaryota; Metazoa; Chordata; Actinopteri; Centropomidae.